This 210-nucleotide long non-coding RNA is filed under the name Danio rerio (zebrafish). RNAcentral's name for it is "si:ch211-263p13.6 (ENSDARG00000094211.2)". Lineage: Eukaryota; Metazoa; Chordata; Actinopteri; Cypriniformes; Danionidae. The record is from RNAcentral.
AAAACACAACAACAACAACAACAACCAUCAAACGUCGUCGAAAACCGGAUAUUCUGGAACAGGACUGCAGUCAACAGUGAAAGUGGCAAAUAAAUCCAAUGGAGAUAUUGUAAAAAGGAAACGUGGGUUACAGUGAGGAUCACCUGUCAGCCAGUGGUGGAGAUAAAGGCUGCUCUCUGUCUGGCUGAGAAUCUCCUGAGAAACACAAAG